UGCUCCUUCCCCUUAUUGUAUCUUAUCCGCUUCCUUUCCAGAGCGGCGGCGGAGGACAAGAAGGUGAAGGGCGGCGCGGCGCUCUCCGACUUAUUCCUCCACACCACCUACGCGUCGUCGUCCGUCUGCGCGGUCGCCGGCGGCUACCGCGCCCUGCGCGAGCGCUCGAACUGCUGGUGGAGGGAGAGCAUUCGUGGAGGAGGCAUGGUGAGUAUGCCGUGCACCAGCGCCGUUGUCGUCCGCAGCACGGUCGCGGAUGAAGCUCUGGAUGGUGCGCGCCGCCAUGACCAUGUUGCUCUGGACCUGCGUCAUGCAGCUCACCGCCGUCGGUGAGACGUGGGGCCCCCAGGUUCUCAAGGGAUGGACGUCCCGCCUCACGGCCCCCGAGGAGGCUGCCGCCGUGCGCCCGGCCGUCAUCGAGAGGGCCGCGUUGCCAUCGUGCAAAACAUAGAUUUCAUCAACCUGGGAAUGGGAUGAUACAGAUUGGUGGUUGGCGUCGAUUUUGCUCGCUUCAUUGUGUAACAUCGAGUCUCCACUGCCAGUCCUCUACGAUCUAACCAAUCAGGCCUCCAUCGACGUAAGCUUCUUAAUCUCCGAUAUCCUGCUCCGUGUCUGAUUUGGAUUGAAUUCGUGACCGUGUCCUACUGUCCUUCUCCAACACAAAUCAAUGGAUUGCCUGACCCGGAUUGGACUUCCCUCCUAUAAGAAGGAAGGGUCCUCGACCGGAAUCUCCAUCAGGUUGCGUACUUGGACCGAAAAAUCCAUCAAAUCUCGGAAUACUUGGACGAGAAAAGCAUCAUGUCGCCUUCAACUUCGCCGGAGGUAGAAGAACAUCCGUCGAGCCGUCUAAUAUCGCGGCUACAGCAAAGGUUCAAGGUGAUCAGGUACGGCUCAUGGGCUGCUACAACUAUUAGUGGGACAAAAGGGUUGUGCAUGCACAUGCUUAUUGAUUGAAGGCAUAAUUAUGGGAGAUGGUGCAUGGUCCAGAUGAAUAGAUGGAACCCGUCGAGAGAAAAGAAAAAGAAGAAUAAGAAGAAAAUUGUUCUUCGUAAACAAGUACUCCCUCCAUCCCACUUAUGUUGGGACGGAAUACAUAUUACAUCAUAUGUAACUGGAGAAUGGCGGCAUGUCACGAUCAGGCAAGAACUCUGAUGCCGGUGUGCACUUGCUGAAUAUAGAUGAUUGUGAUGGCCUUAUUCCUUGGAUGUGUAGGGAGCUUCAACCUGGUACGUAGCUUAUUACCUCCUACUUUUUGCGCCUACAAAAAAGUAUGUACAUUGAUAUAUGUGGUUUAAUCAGUACCAUGCAUCAUAACCUAUCCUUCGUUUUACUGAAGUUUUUAGUUAUUUAUUUCUUGGCCGAAUAAAUCCCCUUUCGUAUGUAAAAUACAAUUGAUCAUCAUGACAUCCCCACCGAGGCGCCCCGCGUCUGCGCCCCGUAAUCCUACACGGAUCUCCGCCGAGGCCAUGACAUCCCCACCCAGGUAUAGGAGCAUAUUGAUCUCAAAAAGGCACCAACCCAAUUGAACCUCUCCCCUGACCCUUUCUUCUCCAUCUUCCAAUCUCAUCUGUUAAGUUUAUAUCAGUUUAUUAAGAUGGUUUCCUAUCCGUUAUGCAGUUUAUGUGUGAAUCCUGCAAGUCUUCAUGUUCAAUUGUGGUUGUCAUGUCGAAUUCGUAUUGAUCAUACUGAGCGCAAACUGUAGGGUUAGCUGUGUUUGAUGUUGAAUCCCUGAUGAUUACAUUGUUGGAAAAUUAUUCCUGGUUUCCUUUCUGUUAGUCAGUUUUAAGUGUGAAUGGUACAAGUCAUAUUAUUUGAUUGUUCUUCUCUUACCGAAUCUGUCCCGAGCAUAUUGUUCACAAACUAUAUUUCUAUUCAAUAUGUCAGUCUUAUUUCAGUGAUUGUUUUGUUAAUGUUCAAAUCAGCUACAUUAAACCUAAAAUCAUAUGGGAAUCAGUGCGAUUUACAUGGACUCUUUGGGGAGAUACUUUUCAACUGUGGAACAACAAUAAAGCAUGUUAGUUACAUGGCGGAGAUGGGCUACUUAGUUGAUCUCAACCAUUUUGCAAUUCACUUUUAAUCUGAAAAACUGUACCUUAUAGUGAUCAUGACUUCUUUAGGUUCUGAGGGCUUAGAUUGAAAAAAUCAAGACAAUUUUUUGUAUUGCAGUGGGGUUGGCUGCUGUAUUGACGAUUUGGAGGUUUAUGAAUGAGGCCUGUUUUGAGAAUAAAUGCGGUGUCUGAUACUUUUGUUCUGAUUCAUGUGGUUUGUUAUUUGGUUAAACUGAUGGUCAAUUUUGCAGAUUAGUGCUGAUUUGGGGAGUAAAGCUCUUCGAGCAAGUGACAAAUCAUGUCUUUCGAGCAUCUCAAAGAUGGCGACCUAGAGUCGUUUGACUGGCAGCUUAAAAGCAAUUAAAGUGAACAGAGGAAUCAAACUUUAAAGCCACUCUUGCCAUUUGUGGACUGUUCCUGCUUGUUGGUGACUGCUUUUGCGAGUAUGUUCACUCUCAUCUAGCGAUGAAAUAUUUUGUUUCUAUUGCGCAGCUGCUGAAAGGGCAAACCCCGGAUCCUAGAUAUCUGUGGGUUUUGGGUGCCCUCUGGGGUUACCUGAAUGUUCCUAUUUCUGUUUUCUUCUUCCCUUUUUAGUUUUCUUCAUGCUGUAGAUGAACUUUUGGUUUCUGUUAAUAGAAUUCAGAGAGGAGGUUCUCUUUUAGAAAAUCUAAUGAGGGGGAGACUGAAUGACCGAGUGUAGAUGACACUGACCAAGUUUAUUAGUAUGUGAUCCUACAUGUUGCUCCAUUAAUUAGAUAAUUCCUGUAUGCUUAACUGUUUCCUCGCUCAGUCCAAUAACGAUGACAGAUCCGAGGGUAUCCUUUGUAGCUGAAGGAAAAGAGGUAUGCAAGGGUGUAUUCCAUAUAUUGUUCUAUCUUUGUGUCAUUAUAACAUAUA
This is a long non-coding RNA of Triticum urartu, 2945 nucleotides long. RefSeq lists it as uncharacterized. The record is from RefSeq and is a predicted model, not a curated record. NCBI's taxonomy places the organism in Eukaryota, Viridiplantae, Streptophyta, Magnoliopsida, Poales, Poaceae.